Molecule: non-coding RNA, 23005 nt
Organism: Xyrichtys novacula (pearly razorfish)
Lineage: Eukaryota; Metazoa; Chordata; Actinopteri; Labriformes; Labridae
Source: the annotation of a GenBank genome assembly
UAUAUAUAUAUAUAUAUAUAUAUAUAUAUAUAUAUAUAUAUAUAUAUAUAUAUACACACACAUAUACGAGUGAAUUGAUUUUGAUUGUUACCACAGGUUCAAAGAAACAAGCUCUAUUUCCAGCACUAAUUCAUUCAACAGCGCUCAUUAGCUGCAUGCAGCCACUUCUUCCACUCCUAUGCCGUUAAUAUAGUCUCUUUACCAAUGCAGGGGUGGGUGCUUUUUCCCAUUUGUGGUUCUCAGAACACUAAAGAUUUAUGAGUCAUACAUACUACAUAAUAUAGGUCAAAUGUAUGUCAACGUACUGUAUACUUUAGAUGUGUGUUUAAAGUGUGGUGGUCAUGUAUGGGGAAGGGGAAAUGGAAUACAAAGAGGAAAUGACUGAGGAGUUGACCUUUAGGCAAGUGACUAUCAAAAUAGAGAGUGAGAUGAGGAAGGAAAGAAAAAAAGUAAUUACAACGGAGUGUAUGAAGCAAAGGAACAUAUUUGAGCUCUGGCAGGGAAGAUCUCACUGUCACUAAAAGAAUAACAAACUUAAUCAAAAAGCUUUGACAACCAUAAAUAACCAUCAAUGUCAGCAUCAAGGUCAGGGUGAUCAUAUGGUUCUCAAUCUUUUAUUCAUUAAACAAAGGAAAAGUGAACACUGCAUCCAUCCAGUUUAGAUCAAAAGACAGAGCAAUGAGAGUUUCACCUGCUUAGGAGCUGCAGAGGUAUUUUCCUUCCAGGUAUAUUUUAGGAUGUCAACAUUCCAGAUUGAUAUGCAUCCAAAAAUGCUGAAGCCACUUGUUAUAAAUGUGUUAUCAAUAUGUGCUAUCAAAAAUGAGAGCAAAGACACCUGGCACUGUGGAGCUUCGAGAAGGGUUGGUGUUGUCCAGUAUUUUUUCAGCCAGAAAAUGAAAGUGUUCAGUUCAGACACACAAAUGUUGCGCUUGCAUAAAUUAAUCAAAGACGACUGGACUGGUAGCCUCAUCAAGGAUCUCUGCACAGUCUCUAUAACCUUCUACUAAAUGACAGUGUACUUGUGCAUUAAGAAGUUUUGAAUGAGGAGAUUUGUGAUGAUAUAGUUACGGUUUUAUCACUGAAUUUCACCCUUUCUUUUCUUUUGGUUUAAACCUUUAACUCUUACCUUACAAAAGCUAUUACCAUUAAAGGGAUAUUUCGGUGUAAAAUCAAGUUAGGGUCAAGCACACUGUAACACCAAGUUAGAUGAAUGUUGCCAACUGCUUGCUCCUCUAGUUAUACCAACUUCAGCAACGACUGCACGAUUGCAAUACACAGCGGUUUACGUCUUAACGUCUUGUGGGGGAGCCUUGACAAAGUCGAUCUCUGAGUGUGGCAGCUUAUUUCAUGACGUAAUAAUCAUCAUAAUAAUCAUUUUGCACUGCAGACGCGGUAGUUCUUCUGCUUUAGGAUCUCCGCCUGAUUGCAUUUCCAUUAAGUAAUAAUCAUAAAUGUUUUUCCUUGAGCUGCAAAACUCUGCUGCACUCGGUGCUCGACUCAUCAGGGCUCUCCCACAAACAAGCAGCUGCUGGAGGAGAGUGGGUGAGCUGUGUUUGGUCCCUUUGCUAAAGAAACCAGGCAAAGCUAGAAAGAUGUUUCAUGGCUAGUACUGUGGCUGGUAUCCUAUAUGUACUGUUGAUGAAGUUAGGUGCUGGUAUUGUUAUCGUGCGGUCUUGCUAAAGUUGGUAUAAAGAGAGAAUCAAGCGGUCGGCAACAUUCAUCUCUCAGGGGGGUGUCUAACUCGGUGUUACAGUGUGUUUGACCCUAACUUAAUUUUACGCUGGAAUAUCCCUUUAAGCUCUGUACUGAAAAGAUAAACUCUUGGAAAAGCUACAGCUGUGGUCAUUGCGUACUUGCUUUAUUUUCCUAUCUUUUCUUACCGUUGAUCACUUUUGCCAUAACUGUGGAGAUAGUUUGCCACUUACUGUGAGCAAAGGCAUCAGAAGGAGAGAUUCAUUUCUGGAAUAAAAAUUCCAGCUCCCAUAAAACCAGGCUGCUGCUGGCUGCACUAAACCUGCCCAACACUGGAUGAGAAAUGCAAUUCCUCUUUGCAAUACCCUGUCUGACAUGACCUGCAUCUGAGUCAAUUUUACCUCCCACCAACCAAUUCAGUGCCACGGCUGCCUGCAUGUCGAUCCGUCUGUCUGCUUGUCGUAUCGCAUCUAAUCUUCAUCUCUCCAAGUGUCACCACCCUCCAAGCCUAGAUAUCUGUCCUCGUUUUGACUGUUUUUGAUAUUUGAUAAACCAUUUCAACCGAGCUUGUUGGAAACAGUCGCCUUAAAUCUUUUUCUAAAGGUGGACAUAAAGCCCAAACUAACUUUAUUUCCGUCUACCUGUUUCUUCCUUGGCUCUGUCAAAACGUCAACACUAUUCAUACUUUUUUUCCCUCAGCCCAGAGCCACACUGGGCAGGUAUUCCAGAAAAAGAGCUCCUCACUGUUGUUUUAUUUACCCCUUUUUUCUCUCUUGUACAUCAUACUCCUUUUUGCAUGUUGGUUAAUCCAUUAUUGACGGUAAAGAUUUCUGUGCAUGUUCUCAACCUGUCAGAGGGAUUCAGGUGUAAUGGGAGAGGAUAUGGACCUAAUGGCCAAGCUGCAUAAAAAAACAGACAGCUACCUUUAGAAAAGAAGGAGAGGAUGCUGCAGGAGAAUGCCAAAAGAAGAAAAAGAAGAAGAGAAAAGAACGAAAGAAAUGAACAAAGAAAGGAGAUGGGAGGGAAUAAGGAGGCAGGGUCAAUAACAGUAAAAGAUGGGCGACACAGACAGACAGAGGAAGAAGAAAGUCGUGGUGAAGCACAAAAGAGGACAGGAGAGUAGAAAGCAUUCCCGGCGGUGCGAACAUGUCAAGGCUUAGCUGGGCGCAGACACUCCCAUACACCAACACACACAUACACAGACACACACAAAGCUGUUCUUCCUAACGAGUGAAAACCCUCGGAGCAGAAAAACUGUGACGUCUCUGGUGGCAGGUUGCAAAAAGCUUUCUCUCUUGUCUCAGCCUCCAGCUUGUACCUGACUGCUUAGCCCUUUUCUUCUGAUGGCUGUACGUACAGCAUGGUCCGACCAUCCAUCCAUCCAUCUGUCCAUCCAUCCAUCAAUUCAUACAUAAUCCUAAACACAUUUCCAUAUUUCCACCCCCGUUGUAAUCAGCCAAUGCAUCCAUAAAAGCCUCCCUCCAAAUUUCCAUCUAAAUAUCCAUUAAAAAAAAUCCUGAAUGCUGAUGCGAUUUUAUUCCUGAUUCAGUGCAAGAUUGAAAUCAGUAUUGGAUUUUGUAAACAGUCAACACUUCCUCUGGCUCUACUCUGCAAGUCAAAGUUUCACUUGAGCAUCACUUUUGGGGGGAUAAAAUAGAAGAGUAGAGGACUGAAUAUUCAAGUAGGGAUGAGAAGGGGAAAUAGAAAGAGAAUAAGGAUGAGGGGAAAAAAAGACAGAGAAACUUAAAGAGGAAAGAAGGUUUAAAAACAGACAGAACUGGCAGAGUUUAAAGCUGAAUCCCCGUUCCAUACAUAGUAAUCCAAAGCAGGAUUUACACAAAGCAUGUGGUGUGUUCAAUCUCAAAAAAGGAAAAAAGAAAUGACUGGAGUAAGCAUACUAAAAGAAACAGACAGACAACUGCUGUAAAGAAUAACCAGCAAUUAAGAUAGUGAUGUGAAACCUGUUUGUUAGUUUGAUUUGGAUGAAACCUUCAAAGCACAGUGGUGUAAAUUACCACAGUGACACUUGUGCUUCACAUUUGAGAGGUGUGAUAGCCAGUUUGCAUGUAAAAUGAAUUUGGGUUAUACCUGUCUGUGAGAGCAAGACAAAACAUUUUAUUGUGUGUCUUGACAUCCCAAAAGUUUCUGAGUACAGUUCACUCUUUGAUUUUAUUUUAUUAAUAGAAAGUCUCUUGCUGGCACUGAAUUUCCUCUUCUUGGCUUCUUCCAUUAACGCUGUCCUUGCUCUGUUUGGCCCCUUUUACACAGCCUGUUUGAGGAAGGACAGUAAUGCCUCAGCUGCUGUCUGUGUAAAGCUCCUGAGGCAAAAUGCCUGAAAACACUGUUCUACCAUUAACAAGUGUCAAAGGUAAUAAAAUGAGGAUAUAUUAAUAGUGAGCAAAUGACUGGGCAGGACUGCAUAGUGGUCUGCUAGCAUGUUGUGUCACUUUGUUUUUUCCAACAUCACUGAGUAACUGCAAACUGGAACAGCAGGGGCACAAAGGCAGUAUUUUGUGGUAUAACACAGAGUUUGAAACAUGUUGGUCACUUGCGUUUGGAUUAAGACCCCAGCCAACAUAAGUGGUACUUAGAGUCAGGAGAUACAGACACAGCUAACAUCAAUACUCUUCUUGACAAAGGUUCAGGGGUGCGCUAUGUUUCCUCAAAUUUUAGGGCUGUUUAUUGGGCACUGUUGCCUGUUGUAGCCUGACCCAUCAGUUAGCUAGCAGGGAGGGCUGCAACUGCUGUCAGUCUGUGUCAAAUAUACCUCAGACAGUCCUGUGACAGAGUUUUGAUCUGACCGCUGGUGUUUUGCACAGUCAGUGUACCCUUUUUUGACAGUGCAGAAAACAUGGUGUGGUGUGGCUGGUUAGUUGUGUGGACCCAGAAGCAGACACGGAAACAGAGAUAAACUUAAAGUGUAAUUUAAUGUCCAAACAAGGUUGAAAAUGCAAACAGAGGAGGUCCGGUAGGCUGGUUGGCUGGCUGUCAUGUGGGCUGAAGACACUGCAGGAAAAACCAGAGGAAAAGGAAGUUAGUGAACAUGUAAAGGAUCACGAGGAGCAAAGUUCUGAUACUGAUACCAACGAGGUAGGCCAGGAGAUGCAUCUUUACCACUUGUAAGGGUAGACAAUACUCAGACCCUGAGGCUGAGGGCUGCAGGCUUCUUAAAGUGCCUUGAUUGGAGAUGUGGAGCAGGUGUGUGGUCUCACUCAGCCUCAGCGCCGGGGGAGGGGAGGAAGCUCUGGAAAAGAGUGAAGCCAGACCAGGCAAACAAGGAAACACAGGAAGACCAGCCAAAAUAAAACAAGAUGAGGAGGCGUCUCACCACACAUGGGAGAGAGAGCAGGGAAUGAUGUGCAGAGAACAGGCCACAGGGUGGAAUCGAACCUUGGCCACUUGCAUAUCGUUGCUGUCCAAUGAAAAAAACAUAUCUCCACUUUUAGUGAGCUGGACUUUUUUUAAUACAUGUACUUCCCUGACAACCCAUAGCUUUAGGUAUCCAAAUGACCUAUGGAAAGACAUAUUAUAACAUCCUCUUUUCAACAAGUAUCUCCAUUGGGUGUCUAAGUGUCAACAAAGCAUGUAUCUCCUGCCCUGAUCCUGCGUUGUCAUGUCAGCAAACAGCUUUUAUACUGUGACAGACUCAUUAAAGUCCAAGGUUUUGCCAUACUCAUGUCCUCACAUCGACUGAUGCUGACCAGUUAUUUCAGUUAUUUUUUCAGUAUACCUGCAUCAGUCACGGACACUAGUGCAUGUUAAACUGGGAGUCACGAUCAUAGACUGUAUAUACUAUGGACAACCUGGUUCCGCCUUCCGCCUGUAUAUGGAUUUGAAGUCAAAUAGCGCUCGGUAUUUCCAGGAUUUUUCUUUAUUUCCUGAGACCAGCGCUGCACAGUAGCGAUGCGUGCAUUCGACCACGCAGUCGCAGAGAGUCGCUGUGAUGACGCUCGGCUCAAACAGCGUAUCCACCGGGAGAGUUACUCAAUCCCUGAACACCCAUAGGCUGUAUCAGGUGUAAAAACGGAGCUUCACAGAAAAAAGAGGACUUGAGCACAAACCAAUCUUACAAUAACUACAUGUCAACAAUGCAAGCAGGGGCGAGAAAAAUUUAUGUUCUGUGUAAUAAAUUUCUAAAGUUUGUCCACAGCUCUAUCAGCUUUGCUGGCGGAGGCGGGAUUUAUGACCUAUACUGCAGCCCACCAUCAGAGGGUGCUGUUCUCGGAGUGGCUUCACCCAGCAGGGAGGUAGACUUUGUCCAUUCUAUAUACAGUCUAUGGUCAAGACUAAAGAAGGUUGACAUCCAAUGAGCUAUGUGGAAAUGUCGGACAGCCCACUAUCAAUAGUCUAUCAACAUAGUGGGACAUAAACAGGAUACCCAAAGCUUGUAAAUAACAGAACGUCAAUGGAGCACAUUAUUUAAAAAAAAACAUGUGUGCCCACUGUCACUCACAAUGCAAAGCAUGUCAGUCUGUUUAAAAAAUCAAACUGUGUAAUUAUAGAUUUUGAUUUCAGAUCCUAAUUGUGUCUUAUUACAGUGUUUUGGGUUUAUUCUGUAAGGUAGUUUAUGAAUAUAUUUAUACAUAUAUUUUUUAUGUUCCUGAAAAAAACAAAGUUUGGAGAUACGUGUUUUUUAUUGGACAGCAAUGAUAUGUGGGAUUUACCUAGGCCUCAAUGCAACCAGUAUCCCCCCCCACGCAAAGUCCAUGUACUUUAAUGAUACCCUACACUGUCUCAUUGGUUUCAUAAUUGCUUAAAAAAAUAUAUGUCUGCCAGUAUCAGCUUUCAUUUCAUAUUUUGUGUUUUGAACCAUAAAAGAGAUGCAGAAGUAACUACUCUGCUCAUCCAUCAACCCAUUCUCUCCUGUCUUACCCCAUCCUCUACCUCCUCCUCGCUCAUUUUCACCUCACCAUGUCCUCUGUAACACCUGAAAAAACUGAGACGACUGACAAAUCCCCUGACAGAGAGAGGCAGAAAAAAUUAGGCGCUCUGAAUAAGUCUCAGCAGGCUAACUCUCAGAACACCAUUAAACCCCCUACUUAAGCUGUAUUUAUGGGUAAUGCCUCUACAGUGAGCCCCCCUCUGUUUCUAUGGCAGUGUGUCCUCAGGGUGGGAUGGUGACACACACUGACCUAAGUUAAGAGAGAAGAGCAAAGAAAGGAAAUGCAGAGUAUUACCAAAUGUUCCUCACACACCAUGUUUCAAAUUUGGAGGUUGUGUGACUCUUAUUUUUAGAGAGCAUUUGCUUCUAAAAUAUAGAAUCCUGUCUCAUCCGAGGUUGUCUCACUGAAGUGCAUUUCAGAGUUCCUGUGCUUGCACGGAGCUCAACCUGCCCACCGGGAGGUUAAAAGCGUUGGAGUUACUCACAGUUCAGCUGGUUUUUGGCUUUGUCCAACCUGCUGCAGUGUCUUACACAGAGACUACACUUAAGGGAGGAUUACUAAUGCUGCGUUCCAUUUGUACUUGGAAGUUGAAUUUUCCGAGUUCUCAAUCGAAAAUUCAUCUGGAACGCCUCCCUGAAGUCGGAUUUCAAACUCGGAAAGUCGGACAAUCCUAGCCAACAUGGACUUAUUAUUAUUAUUAUUAUUAUUAUUAUUAUUAUUAUAAUUAUUAUUGUUAUUAUAUUGUUAUUAUUAAUACUAUUAAUAGCACUUCUGUUUCGUUUUUGUGAAAUAGAUUUAGUGUGGACAUGGUACUAUGAUAAUGUAUGAGUUAUAUACCGUAUUAUGUGCUGUUUUUAACUGGUAAAGCUAACAACAGCUAAAGCAGCUAAAAGCAGCUAACAAUGAAUAAACAUUCUAACAGCAAGCACUUAUCUUGUUUUUCAGACUUGUUUACCAGAACACCAUUAACUCGGGUGUAACGUCAUUCCCAGCUCCAACAUCCGACUUCCGAGGUAACUGGAAUGCAGCAUAUGGACCACAACGGACAUAUUAAAAAAAAAAAAAAAAAAGAAAAAAAACAUGUGCUUUGGUUUUUAACAACUGUUAUCUGUAAUUUAUCAUUACAGUGAGGUGUAAAUCUAUGAAUGCUGUGAUUUAAAUAUCUGGUCCAGGCAAACAUCUGUGGGACAGCUGUGACAGUGUGCCCUAAACCAAAACAAUGCCCAUGGCUUAUUAUACAUUUCACAAAAUAAAAGGUUAUAAACAGUCAAAGGUGACACUGUCAAUGUCUGUGAAUUUCAAUAAGAUUAUUUUCUAUACUCUGAAGAACAAACAGAUGCUUUAGCCUUAAGCUCUCAUCAAUGAAAUGUCAGCCUGUGUGCUGAAAGCUUGACACUGAAACAUUAUUUGUAAUGUGCUCGCAAAACAGGGAGCGCAGGGAGAGAGGUGACACAUCAAUUGUAAACCAUAGCUGCAAGGUGUAGUAUCCCUCGCUGAUUACAUUUGCGGCAAUCCGGCUAAAGCCUUUCAGAUAGAUGAUUUCAAUUACUUUGUGUAUACCAUGUUUAAGUUCACAGCAGUAAUCUUUUCUUUUUUUUUUAAUAACACGUCAGAUGUCAAAUAGAAUUUGCAAAACUGCUGCUGGCAAACAACACACAACCUUUGCUCAAGAAAGCUUUGUGCACUUUUCUCGAUCGUUGUUGUUUGACUGAAGUGAUAUAAUGAUGUGAAAUAAAAGCAGGGAUGUGGGUGUUUAAAAUAACAACUUAGACAUUAGCCAAUUCUGUCUUUUUGUACUAUAAUUCUACAUGUUUAAAUGAGCAAUAAGAGUUGGUGGAAAGUUAGUUUAACUUAAGGUUUAAAUUGUGUGUGCAAAUUGUGGGUAGUUUAGCACUACCCCAGACUCGCUGAUUAAUGUCCGUAACUUCAAAACCAAAUGGCUGUUUCGUAUCUCAGUUUGGAAACAGACUCACGUCACAAAAUCGCUAUAAGACCAGUAGCCCGAGUGAUAUGAGGGCUGCCAAGCCAGCUAUCUGAACUGGUGAGAGCACUGCUGUUGUUUUCACUCAUUGUUUUCUUUGUUAGGGAAAUAAAAUUUUCCAUGCACACAGGGUCAUUGCUGUUUUUUUUUUUUAUUUUGAAUAUCCAAUAAAGGUCCCACAUUACCCCCCUUUCAGCAGGUUCCUAUAGGUCUCUGAGGUCCCAGAACAGUCAAUUUGAAGUUUGUUGUCUAAAACCCCAAUUUUUCUCCUGGACUUCAGCCAGCCCGAAAACUUUCUCUAGUGAGCUCUACCGAGAACACGCUGUUUCUGUGUGCAGCGCCUGUCCACGCCUCCUUCAGCGCAAGCCACGCCCUUCCCUGUCUCUCUGGCUUGCGUUACAGUACCAUUCACUAAUGUACACACAGAGUGCUAGGUAUGGCUCAUAGAAGUGCUGAGGUCCAGCCAUACCAGUUUGAGCCAGAGUCUGACCCAGAAGGAGAGGUUCCUGAAGAAAUUCCAAAUUCCAUGGAAGGCAAAAGUACUAAUCUGCCUGUUUGAGCAGACAUUUUCUGAAAAAUGAAAUAAGCAAGAGAGGGAGAGGAUAGAAUUUUCUCAUGUUGGGGGGUUGUAGACAGGGUGGAGAUGCAUAUUAUUGUUAGAAAAUCAUUAUGAAUUGAAUUUUGCAUAGUAUGAGACCUUUAACUGCCCCAGAGCAGUUUUUUUUUUUUUUAAGUCAGCGACUUAGACCCAGUGCAUUCAAAUACUGUGCCAACUGAAUGAUAAGGGGCUCAGGCAGCUACGUAAAUUUGAGGGUUCGCAGCCGUGCAUUUGCAGUCACAGCAGGAAUAGAAAGAGUUUUGCCAUUUUGUAGAGACAGUCAGAUAUUCGUGAAUUGGAAUGUAACUAGCAAACAGACACACAAAAGUGACUGUAAAGAGCAGCAGAUGUUGACAUAUGAAAUAUAUAUAAUUAUGAGUAAUGAUGUGUUAAUUUGACCCUGUGCAGGAUGUAUACUGUAAUCAUUCUGGUUUGUCAGACGUUAGCAUUUAGAGUUGAGCUGGAAUUAAUGUCCCUCAUGUAAUAAUUUAAAACAGAUAUAUGCACACAUACAACCAGUGUUGCCUGCUGCAGGAGUGAUGCAUACUGUAAUAUUUAAAUAUCAUAACAGACACACGCUGAUGCACAGAAGCCUACUCAAUUAAUCAUGGUGUCCUUUGGCCCUAUGUACUCAAUGCUAACAUAAUGGACCUGAGUGAUAAACCACUUCCAUUUCCUCUCUAAGCCUGUUUAGUGAAGUCUGAGAAAGAGAAGAUGGAGCGGCAGGAGGAAGGAAAAAAAGAGAGAUCGUGAUUGAGUGAGAAAAGAAGGAAGAGAACAGGCAGAGAAUAGGAGAUCAGGAGAGGUGAGACACCAAGGAGAAGCAUGUUUAUAUUGCUGAGAGCAGAAGGGAUAUUAGAUACAAAUUAUUCAUGUGCUUACGCCACUCCACAUCUCAUGAGAAACGUCCAUUUGUACCUUGAAGACAACAUCAAGACAGAAACCUAAAAGAAGGGCAAAGGAUACAGAAAAGCAGAUCAGAAACAAAAGUAAAAUACAAAAAUACCACAAAAUAUUAUGCAGCUUUGCAUGACAAUGUAUACAUGUCAGUGCUGCUUAACUGUGGUGCCAUAAAAUUACUCUUAAAAUCAAACACAGUGCAAUAUAUCCUAAAAUUUGAUGGCUUUGUUAGCAUAUGGGAUGAAUGGGGUAAAAAAUUUAACAACAGCCUCAACAAGAUUCAAAAUAAAAUUGUAUUAAUCUGCCUUCUUGGAAAAAAAAAAAAAAAAAACUCCUGUCUGGGUGGUUUAGUUUCAGACAAUGAGUUUUAAUAGUAGUUGUCAGUAGAUUCCCACCCGUCACACUGUAAUGUUGAGUACUUUAAUUCCUCUGACUGACUUUUGUUACUAUUACAUAGUCAUUAAGAGCUCCACUGUGAGCACAUUGUCAAUCACAUUGUAAUGUACGUUAUUCAUACUUUCCAUAGCAACUACAAGUUAACAUGGAACUUUAUAUAGCUGAAUAAGCCGUAAAAAAAAAAAAAAAAAGAAAAAAACAUGACACAGACUCAGAGCAGUGUUAAUGUUAAAGGGAUGUUCAGGCGUAAAUUAAAGUAGGGGUCAAACACACUGAAAGUUCCCCACAAGCUAACGCAACAAACAUUUCCUUCUGAUUGAACCACAAAAAUGCCAAUCAAGCUGACAGACAUUUCAGUCUGGCCAACCAUAGCCCAAAGCUCACUGUCCGUACCUGCCCAUCUAUACAGCGAUUGGAUGAAUCUGUAGUUGAUUCAUUUUGCCAAUGUGAGGCCCCUCAGACAAGGGGCUGAUCCAGGUAAUCUCCACCUAUUGGCUGAGAUACAUGCCUGCGCAGCCUUGCAGCGCAAAGCUAACUAGCUAUGGCGAUGCUAAAUGCUAACGCACAGGACCAUACAGACAAUGGACGGGAGGCACAGAGCAGCGAGUCGAGUCACGUAUUUUGUUGUAGUAACCAUGACUACCGCCACAGCCAUCUUGAAAAAAGCCGGACGGCUGUUGGUGUUUAUGACACCUGAGUUAUGUCCCAUAUGUCCAAGAUCAUAAUUUUAUGAACUAUAUCAAAGUCACAACAACAAGCAGCAGAUUUCAGAGGAAUCAAGAAUUGCUCUGCAGAAUCAGCAUUGUUCUCCACGGAAUCAAAACUUUUUCUCUGCAGAUUCCUGAAGGGUCUAACUACAUAUCAAAACAGCUGGCAAACUGACUGUAUGUUGAACAAUGGAGGCUGUCACUGAUACAGCUAUAUGUUGUUUAUUUGCACGGGAGGAAAGUUUUGUCUUGCUUGAUGGACUCAGGUGAUUUGGACUAUGCAGCAGGGGUGGCUCAAAGGGUGGCCAAUAUGGUCUGAACUCCAGCUAAAGUCUAAUUGUCCACUCCAGGUUUCAUCCUGAAACCCUGAACAAAUUAUUAAGGUUGAGCUAGAUAAGAUAAGAUAUUCCUUUAAUAGUCCCACAGGGGGUAAUUCCAAAGAAAGCGGGCUGCCUGGAGAUUUUUUUUUUUUUUUUUUUUCACAAAAUAUGACACAUCGAGUGUCACAUUAUUAAAAGCCAGUAAGAGUAUUUAAAACUGUGAUUUAUCACAGCCUCUGCUGUGAUUAGACAUGAUUUUAUCUUUAAGUGAUGACAGUACUUGUUGACAGCUAAGAGGGGUGACAAACUGAGCUUGUUGCAGCUUAAUUUUAAACACCUAUGACAAACUUCACUUUUCGUAUAUUUUAACAACUUUUUUUGGCAGACUUUAAUUGCAUGGAACUUACUGUAAAUAUAACUUUACACAACCUCCAGAGCAACAUUACUCUUUUCAAGUGUUUCUAGACAGGCUAUAGCAGCGAGGAAAAACUUUUUAAGUUCAAAAUUUGGUUUCUUUAGAAGUUAUAUGACCAAGAAAGUCAAUGCAUAUUUGAAAGGAUUCUGAUUUGAAUAAAUGAGUUUUGGACUCAUGAACAGCAGAUACUUUAUAGGAUUAAAAUAGGAUACAAAUAUUCAGACCCCAACACAAGAUUAAACAAUUCCCAAGAGUUUUCAGCUCCUGCUAUGUUUGAAAAAGGAUACAUAAAUGGAAAAAAGAUUCUUCUCCAACACAGCCCUUAUUUUAGAGUUCUGUAAAACCACAUAGUUAAAUCAAGCUGCCUCAGGAACUUGUAUAUUCGAUUUAAAAGAAGAUUAGAUGCUGUAAUGUUGUUUUCUAAAGAAGUAGUAUCUUUUCCAGUAAGUUUUUGUCUGUAUCUUUUUACACACAGACAGUAUGGAAGCAAUGCUUCCUUGAGAGAGGACACAAAGCUGGAUUUUUUUACGCUGCAAGCUGACAGAUCAGGCUUUGGAUUUGCUUCCUCUCAACUGAAACAUUGACCCCACUGUCACACUUACAGCAGUUCAGAGAAGGUAAAUUUUGGCUAGGUGACAGGUACACACUUGCUUGAUUCACAGUUAUAGAAGUGGAACUGUUUUAAUGGAAAGGUGGACAGACGGAUAGUCAGAGAUGGACGGGAAACUUAAGCUAAGCUGGCACUGAAGGGGAAAUUCAGCAGGCAGCAGAUCAAUGAGAGAUGACUAAUAAAGACUGUGAUUGCACUCAGCGUAGACGGGUGUGUGUGUGUGUGUGUGUGUGUGUGUGCGCGCUUCUAUCUGUUGGUGUUACCAAACAUGAUGCUGUACAGCUUGCAAGUAAGCACACAGAAAUAUGCUCACGGUGACAUCUCAACGUGUAUGAAUAUUUUUAUGUAAAGUUGUGGUUUGACAUGUGUGCAUGUGUUUGUGUAUAAUGCGACCUGACACAUGCAACUCUUAUUAAUAAAGAGUGAGUAGAUGCUUAUUGAGGACACUGACUGGUUACCACCAAACCCAUGAGGGAAACACACACAGCACACAAAUCUAUAUAUGCACAUGACCGUAACAUGCUCUACCAUACACACACACGUGCACGCACGCACACACACACAGUUAUACUACAUACACAACGGAAAGAGAGGUACUCGAGCGGUCCUCCCAGCUUCGGUGUCAGUUGAAUUAUUCAACACAAUUAAAGCUCACUAAAGCCCAUCUCUCCUCUUUCAAUUUUCUGUGUGUGUGUUCAUGUUCUCUCACUUGUUUUCAACCACACUCUCCUCCAUUUGUCCUCUAGUAAUCCUUUUCUGGCACUCUAGUCAAGAGUAGGGCUCCUUUGCAGUUUGCUUCCCAGAUAUUAACAUGACACAGAGUUAUGUAGUCAUGUAAACACCUACUUUAUAGCAAUACAUACUAGGAGUGUGCCAUAUUAUACCAUGUACCUUAAUACCAGAAUACAUUUUUUUGUGAGAUAAAUUUGUCAUAGUGCGGUAUUUAUACUGUAGGGACAAGAUGACGUAUGAGUUUCCUACUGCAUACACAACAACAAUGUCAGAGAGCAAGAGCAGCACAGUAGCACCAACUUGGUCCUCAAAUGAGGAACUAGUGCCAAAAAUGGGAGCCACCUCUGUGGUGUGGAGGUGGUUUGGCUAACACAGCUAAUAAGUUUUACCACCUAACACUAAAACACAUGGCUAAAUAUCAGCAGGCUUUGAGGGCACGUGACGAGGACGUGAAAGUAGCGACUGGUGAAGAAGCACUCACUGCACCCUGUACGAUUUAAAAAAAAAACUGACGGUGAAAGGACAUUUCCAAAGUGGUCACAUAUUAUUAGGCCAAAGACAUGAAACUAAUUAAGGCUGUCAGAAAGGAAGGCUUCAAACACUUUUAAUGUAUGGCAAAUCUGAAUUUAUUUUCAUAAUUUAACCACGUUUUAAUACCAGUAAUAAAAAUGCCAUUUUUUGGAAGCAGCAAUCACUAACAAUGUGUUGUUCCGCAAGUUUUUCCAUAUUGUCAUAAAUAUCGUUAUCACAAAGUGCCUUGAAAAGUCUUGAUGUCACCACUAACAAGUGCUCCAAAAAGUGUGAUGCAAAUUAAGAUUUAUGUUACCUCAAAAUCAUGAAGGUUUUAUUGAGGCAGAGUUAAAGUUGGUUUAAAUGAGAGAUAUAAUAUAUAGUGAGCAGGUGGAUGUGUGAAUUGGAACACCAAUAAGGUAAGCAAGCCCCCCCCCCCACACACACACACUUUCAUGGGUUUGUCUCACCAUGAAGGAAUGAAGUGAUUCAGAUCCAGAGAAAUCAAAAAUAUUCAUGCUUACAGAGCAUUAAAAUUCUGAAGUGCUGGAGACCGCCACCCACUCUGAUUUUAAUUCAUUUGUAGUCGGUAUAUCAUGAAUAUAUCAACAACUGCGUCUCUUUGUGAUGUUUUUGGUUUGUUUCCAGGAGAUGGUUUCAAGAACACACAUACACUGUAACUGGACUUCAUUGUGUAAUUUUUUUAACAUUUCUGCCCUUAUGUGUGUUUGAAGUUUUUUGUAUUUUUUGUUUUGAUAAUGCUAAUAAGGCAUUCAACCAACUUUCAUUUGUUUACUUGUGUGGCAACAUGUAAGACAUUAAAUGAUCAAACUGUUUCUUAAAGGAUAAGCUGAUAUCAGCCUUUGUUGAUGCAAAAUAAUUUGCACCAUCCUUAUGUAUGCAUAUUAACGACAUGCAUGGUUUGCUGCUUCCUACUGGAAUUUCAUUUUAAGAAAUCAAGAGACACAAAGGAUAGAAAAGGAGUGCACUUAGACAAAACUCUGAUGAUUUUACUCAGACGCUGGAUAAUUGGCAACAAGAGCAAAACAUCUUGAGUGCCACGGAAGACUUAUCCUGAUUUUAAUCUCUCUACUUAUCAGUGAAGUCUGGAUUAUAUUGCGUAGUUGUUGGGUGUAUCCCCCUGUAAAUCUGUCUGUUGGUAUGCACUCAUUUUCUGCAUUAGACACUGUGUGUAAAGUAAAGUCAAAAGUCAAAUUUAUUUCUAAAGCAUGUUUAAAAACAACCUUAGUUGACCAAAGUGCAGAACAAGGAUACAAUAUAAUUAUGCACACACUUACAGGGGUAUAUUGGCGUAAAUUUAAGUGAGGGUCAAACACACUGUCACACUGAGUUCAACAACCCCUCAAGAGAUGAAUGUUGCUGACUGCUUGCUUCUUUAGUUAUACCACCUUCAGCAACAAUGGCACAAUAGCAAUACACAGCAGUGUACAUCUCCAUGUGUAAACCUCAACCAAAAAGCCACAAAUAAUGCUCAGAACAGUACCUAACUUCAUCAACAGUACAAAUAGAGUCCCAGCCAUGGUAUCUUUUUAGCUCUGCCUGAUUUCUUUAGCAAAGAAAUCAAACACAACUCACCCACUCUCCUCCAGCAGCCACUUGUUUGUGGAGAAGCCCUGAUCAGUCAGUCACCGAGUGCAGCGGAAAACUUAUGAUUAUUACUUUAAGGAAAUGCAAUCAGACUGAGACACGCAGGCAGAAGAACUACUGCAUCUGAAGUGCACAUACAAGAUAUACAAGAACUCUGAUUGCAUUGCCAUGAAGUAAUAAUCAUGACUGUUCUUCGUUGAGCUACGAAACUCCACUGCACUUGGUGAUUGACUCGCCAGAGCUCUCCCACAAACUGCUGGAGGAGAGUGGAUGAGUUGUGUUUGGUCUCUUUGCUGAAGAAAUCAGAAAGAGGCAAGGACAGGACUGAUGUGGUGACACCGUUUCUUGUGUGUGUGUGUCAGGGGGUUUAUGUCAGAGUAUGAUAGGAGUGUGUUCGAGACCCCUUUUCCUGCAAAGUCCUCAGACAACGAAGCUAAUUGAUCUAUUCCAUUUGUGUUAUUAGGGUACAUGUGAUACCUGACAGCAUUGUGUAAAAACCAAAGGUCCCCCCAGAUCUUUAUUUUUUUUUCUGUACUCUGAUUGAUAUUGAUGCCAAAAAUGUUCUUCCGUGGGUUGACGUGGUUCAGAGGUCAUGAAUUGCAUUCUGUACAGGUGAGAGCAAAGGCCAGCUGUCAGACAAAAAUAUCCCAGGUUGGAGCUACAGGCGAACUGCGGUUAACGCCAACAUCGGAUUUGUGUUUAUUCCUUUUGACUCACCUUCAUCUUGAAUCUCUCCCCUCCACUCUCUCUCUCCACCUCUGUAUCUGUGGCAGUUUGAAAGGUCGAACUUUUGCCAGACUGUAGCGGCCGGCUGAGUGGCUGAAACACAAUCAAGCGUGCCAGACUAUUUCCCCAAACUCAGACACAUACACACACACACUCAAAAAUACACACACACAGGUCCUAGCUAUUUCUUGGUGUUGACACUCUGUCAUUUGUUACACAGACAUCUCUUCUCCUUCAGCGGCCUGGCUGGACCAGUGCCAAAGUUUGCUUUGUUGUGUCUGCUGGUUAAAUGGCAAAAAAGACAGGAGAAGAGAGGAUAGUCAGAGAGAAUAAUUGGAAAAGAUAAGUGGGGGGAAAAGAGAAGAGGCAACCAAUAAGUCAAGAUUAGAAAACUUCUCUGUAAUCUCUCAAGGAUUUUUUUUUUUUAUGAUAAUAACAGUCAAAAGUUUCUGAAUUGAAAGCAGAUAAAAGGUGCAAACUGUCAUUGUGAAAACUGCAGUCUUCUUCAGUAACUUGGCUUGAGCUCUAAGUGAACGUAAGCUGAUUUAACUGGACUUGCUGUCAGUGCUGUUGUACAAUAUGCUCAAGCAAAAGUAAAAAUAAGUUCAGGUAUUUGGUUUCAGAAAUGAACAGGAGGUGGACAUGAAAUUGAAUGCAAAUCUACAAUUUAAUUUGGGAGGAAACUGAAGUGCUUUAUAUCUUUUAUGAAGAGUUUUCCACAAGCUCCAUCAAGCAGAUUCUAAGUGUGAGGUACCUGAUCAGAGUUGGCUCAGUUUAAGGGCGUUUUCACACUUGGUCCCUUUUAAAAGAACCAAACUAAGGUGGUCUUAACACGAGUACCAAUUUGUAAGACACCAGUAAAAUAAAGUAUCCAUCAGGUGAUUGUGACACACGGAGAUGCCAAUUUGUCCAUUGAAAACGGGUCUGCAGGUGGAUAUCUGGGUAUUCGUCUUCAUGCCGUAGUUGGUAUAAAUAGAUAAGUCCGGAAAAGACAGUGACCUCAUAGCACCCCUCCUCCUCCCCGCCCCCCAACCCACGUUGUCACACACACAGCAACAACAACAAUGGCGGUAGCUGGGGUGAUUUUGUUCUUGUUCCAGCAACUACAAAUAUUGCUAUGACUUUUAUACCAACAUUUAGAACAGCAAAAACACCAGCUACGGCAACAACAGCAACAAGUGCUCAUGCAGAGACGCAGCAUGUUACGCGUGCACAACUUGUUGUCGUGGAAUCCACCUCAGAGCAGAACCAGAUGGGCAACACGAUUUUGCGUGGAUUUUGCAUUGUCAUGUAAAUGCACUAAGCCUAUGUACAAUACAACGUGUAAACAGUGAUGCAUGUUUUGGUGCUGACGCCAAGACAAUACGGGGCCGGCAUGUGUGAGGAGGGCCUAAGUCCUUUUUAAGUGGACCAAAAAGUGGACCAAAUGCAAAGGAACUCAGUUCUUUUUGGGUUCACAUUGGGAGUUUAUUUCAAAGUGGAUCAGGUUCUCUUUCUGGACCAGCUCAGUUUCUGUCCUCUUUCUGUUCACACUACGUCCUCUGGAGCAUUUUACCAUGAGUGCCAAGGUACUUCUGUCUGUCUUUUUUUUUUUUUUUUAACUUUAACUUUGCUCUGUACAGAUUGGUGGUUUGGUUAUAACUGUCUGCUUUUAUCCUCUGAAAAUUCUUGAAAAACUUGUGUGUUACGGAGGGUCGUAUUUAGUUGUGCUUUUUUGCUCUCGUCAUCCUAAAUUUCCAAAAGACAUUUAGUUUAAUCUCUCUAAACUACGCUGUGUCCAGGUCUCGUAGUGGAAUCUUGAGAGCCAUACUUUGUAUUUGGUGUUCUUCCUUUUCUCUACUGCCCUGCCGAAGUCAUGUGACCAAUCUACGGCAAGCAAAGAAGGUUAUAAUGCACUGCAAAAGGGUGAAGUGAACCCGGUGCACUUUGUGUUCACAAUUCACAAAUUAGGCGAACUGUACCGCUGACUUUUAAAUGAACCGUACUGAGACCUGGUCUCUGUAGGGGUCUGAGUAUGGUUGGAGUGUUCACAUACAGACAAAAAAUGCUGAGUAAGUGAUCUGUGUUCACUUAGAGGGCUGAAAGGGACCAAGUGUAAAAACACCCUAAGUGACUCUGGUCUGUUGAGGAAGGUUACAAUGAGUGUUGCAAUGCACUCAUGGCAGAGGUUACCUGACGAGAGGAAGUGCAACAAAGGUAAUAACAAAUAACUACCAUAUUAUUGUGCAUAUACAAUGGUUGAAUGGUAUUCUUCCAGUCUGACUUUUAUGAAAUAAAAGUCUAUAUAAAUAAAAUUUGAUUGAUUGAUGAUUGUUAGUUGGAAAAUAACAGAUUGGUUGAGUCUGAAGAUCCCUGCCAUAACAACACUGGGUUCUCAUGAGACAGAAGAUCUUAAAGUCAAGUCAAGACUGGAGGAAGGUCUUAAAAAUGGACAGGUUGGUUGUUUAGUAGUAUUUCCUCAGUAGUCACCACAUCAGCUCGUGUUUUCUUCAACAACAAAGAUAAAUAGAUGGUGAAAAAAGAGGAAAAAGUGGUAAGGUGACACCAAAGGAGGAAAACAAGUCUUUUUUGUUCAAAAAGGCUGAAAACAAUAAAAAUAUUAGGGAAAAAAAAAAAAAAACUGUGAUGCAUGGUGAAAAGGUUGGGGAGAAUCAAGAGUGAGGGAUAGAGAAAGAGGGAUGGAUGAAGUGAGGGGUAGGCGAAGUAAAUGAGGGAGGGAAAGGAUAGAGGACUGUACAGCGCAGAGACACAGUCCAUCAUGCACCCUGUCUUGCUGUGAAAAGAGGAAGGACAAAGUUUAACCAGGAUUUAUUGCCUGUGUCGAGUCACUGGAAUAAAGCUUGGGAUAUAGAUCAUUAUGGAGGACACAAAUAGACCUGCAUGCACCUGAGCUGGGGUCAGUUCACUUCCUUUUCUGAGCACCCCACCACUGAAGCUGGCCCUCUGUUAAACUGAGAGAGCAAGUGGGUGGGGCAUUGACAGAUGAAGUGUCAAUCAUUCAGUGAUCCUCCAUUCAUUAUGAGGACAGCUUUCCCUUUAACUGCUCAACGAGGACAUUGUUUGUUAAAUCAGAGUGGUCCUUAAAAAAACAAAACUCUGUUUUUCUCUUGGUAUAUUUUCUGACAAAAUAGAGGUACAGUGUGUCCAAUGACUUUUUCCUUUGAGUAGAUAUAGUGCAGUAGAGGAAUCCUUUGUCAUCCUGAAAUCUAAUCUGUUUGCUCCCUACAGGACUUUUGUUAUAUUUCAUUCCUUGGUUGUAUAUUUUUGCAUGUUUUUUCCCUCCAGUGUGCAGGCUUCUCGGAGUGUGAUGUGUUUUGUUUGUUGCUUUUCUCUCUUCGGUUUGUAAGAGGUAUGACCCCAGAUUUUGUAAUUACUGCUGGAUGAAGGUUUUAGCUGCUGCUGAUUUUUUCUUGUUAUUCUCAAAAUGCUCUACAACUGGAGAACAUCACUUAAAACAGCAAGACAGCUUCAACGUUGAUCAAUCAGUUGUGAAAUAAAAGGCUAUUAGAGCAAGGACAGUACAAAGUCUGCUCAGAAAAAGUUCCAAAUCUGCAUCAUCUGGGAGAAUUUGGGUUAAUAUUUGUGUCUGCUUACGUUGUUGGAGACAUUUAGAUUAAUCCACAUCCUGGCCAAAAGACAGCACAGAUUGUACAACAGGUUGUGAGACCGACUGGUCUUAGACGCAAUCCGUUCUGGCUCAUCAGACCUUUAACAACCAGCUGAAUCACAGGAAUUGAAAAAGGAAGUAAAAGAAGCAGUGGAUGUUCACACCAUUAUUUAAUCCAGUGUCUGAGAAUAUGAACAACACUUCUGUUUAAAAUUCAUUAGAGCAGUCUUGGGGAUGGUAAAGUAUUAACACAAACAUUAGCAGGAUUUGGGGAAUAAAUUAAGACUCAUCACUGAUUAAAAAUGUGGGGCUUUUGUUUGUGAUAGAUAUGUUUUUAUUUGAAUAUUUUUGGGGAGAAAACAUGAAGACAAAUGAUUAAGCUUUGAUAAUUCUGUGACAAAGGAUGACAUGAAUUCAAAUAUGACACUCUUUAAAGUUGGACAACAUUACAGAAAUUACAGUCAGCUCAGAGUUACCGAAUGCUGAAUAACAGAAAUCAAACCUGACUGUAUUCCCUGGUAUUUACAUUUUCAAGUAAGACAUUUUGACCUUUUUCAACAUGCUCAAUAAUUUAAGCAGUGUUGAGUCAGAUCUUAUAAAUCAAUGAUGUAAUAUUCAUGCUGUGUUUUCAUGGGUGCUAACAUGGGGGAUAAACAAGUCUGUACAACAUGUCUCUUUUAUGCAGGAGAUUUAGAGACAUUUUAACUUAUUCAGCAACCACUCAUGGGGAAAAAAAAUAUGUUCCCAAAACCCUCAAAUUAUUUGGGUGAUUUUGAGCUUGACCAAAGUUUUCCUUUUUUAGAUUUGUUAUUGGCUGAGAACAGAAUCUACGAACACUGAGGAGCACUCUGGAUCAAAUUUGAGUGCUGACAUGCCAGUGCAAAAUGAUGUCUAAUAUGUACAAGCUUAUCAGUGAAAAUACGUCAGCUACACUUUAAAUAGCAGCAUAUGUUAAUCAGAAAACGCAGGUCACAGCAGUGAUAACCUACAAUUACACAUGGCUAUUUAAAGGUACAGUGUGCAAAAAUGGGAACAUUUAGGAAUUAAUGAUGUAACGGUAACCGGUGUAAUGGUAAAUUGUGUUAAAAAUGUUGAUGAUAAUGAUUACUGUUUGCGUUUGGAUCACUGCGGUGUUAAAACCUUGUCAGUGUUUCCCCAGGACUGGAAUCUUUCUGUGGCGAUGUGUGGUUUGGGGCUGGAGGGGGCUUUGUGUGUGUGUGUGUGUGUGUGUGUGUGUGUGUGUGUGUGUGUGUGUGUGUGUGUGUGUGUGUGUGUGUGUGUGUGUGUGUGUGUGUUGUUGUGCGAAUCAACGGGUAAUCAACCAGCAGUGAGAUUGCUGAAGAUCUCCCCACGCUAGUAAAUAGCUGUGCGAUCACCAACAGUAACUUGUUAAGUAAUUAGCUGUGUGGUCACCUAUGAUACCUCACUAAUGCUAAUACUCGGUGCGCGCUCCACAGUGCACUGCACAUAUAUAGCAAUACCAUACAGUCUGUGAUGUAUACUGAUACAUAUGAGUCCCGGGUAGCACCAUAUAACAAAAAAAAAAAAACAUUUUUAAGAUGUGGUGGCUUUUAUUUAGCCGUUGCAAUGUGCCAUGGUCAAUUGUAUGUUGGGGAAACCCAGCAUGUGUUUAAUUAUCCCAGCUUCAUCUGAGUCUCCUUAGGUAUCUGCGCAGGUGCACUGUGCAGCCUACAGUUUUUAUUUAAACUUUCUACUAAGUUUGAAAUGGAAUCAUGACGAAAGGAGGAGAUGACAGCACCCAAGACAUCGACAAAUGUUGAGGGACGCUUAGUUGAAGACAGUAAUCCUGACUGUAGAACAUGCAAAAGAAAAGUUGCUGUUAAAGGUAGCAACAUAUUCGGGUUCAGGGAGAGUGCAGUGAUCUGUUUGUCUAACUUAUUGACUCGUCAGUAAUAUAAACAGAACCUUGAAUGCAGCACCUGUCGCCAUGGAGAAUACAUCUAGCAGCUAAUAUUGUAAGAUAUAAACACAUGAAGUUAACCUUUAUUUGUGAAGAAAUGGUGAAACAAAGCAUUGUUUAGCGCUAGUUAAAAGCAUCAAAAAUGCCACAAUCAACGUGAUUAUUUUGGUCACAAUAACAGUGAGGUAAAAUUUUCAUACCAUUACAUCCCUAUGAGGAAUAUUUAUCCAUCAGAUUCCAGGUUGGAAUGCUCCCUCUCAACCCUCCCAUCCGUAAGGCCUUCAUGGAAAGAGGCUCCAGUGAUGCUGCAUAAUAUAUUUGAACUGUCAUUUAAUUAUAUUUUACAACAAAAACUUUAUCAGCAUAAAUCUUUUUUAUGUGCAACAACUCUCUUCCAACCAAUACAUUUUCAGCAGCCACCCACAAGAUAUAAAAAUGUAAUGCAAAGGGUGUAUAGGUGAAAAGGUUGAACACUCUGUGCUACUGUAGAAAUGUGGCAUUGCAAGGUGGUGUCCUCUGUUGAAGGGGACCUGUUUCUAUGUCAAUAUACAGGGCUCAUCCUGGCUUAAUAAAACAAAAUAACUUUAAUGUUCUGGUAAAUAUACACUUAUUUAAACAUACUCUAUCAUACUACAUCCCAUUUCUACCAAGUCUGUUCUGCGAAAUGCUUAAGAACAUGUGACAAAUCUAUCACAUAUUCGCUAGUUUUACACCUGCAGUAUUUGGAGGCAUUGUCAUGUCAAAUCACAUGAAUUAUGAAAAGUGGUUAAACUAUAAUUGGCAUCCCUUUACCAUCCCUGACAAAGUCCACCCUGUAGUGUUGUGUCGUUCAUAAAUGAUUUGUUCAAAAGAACGAAACUGCUGAGUGAACGACAUGAAUGGAAUCACUCAAAGACCUGAUUUGUUUCUUUCUCAGUUGAGUUGGGCUCAGCCGCGAUCCUUGCUUGCCAGUCAGGAGUGGGCACAGAGGCAGCCAGAGAGCAAGCGGGUGGGCAGAGUCUCGUGAUUUGCUCACAGUGAAUGAACGACAUGUAUCAGUCAGACUGUGAACGAAGCGACUGACUUCUGAAUGACUUGAGGCAGGCAGAGGAGGGAGGGGCAUAGCACCGUUCACUGCCAAGCGAACACCCAAGCACCAAGCAAAUAGCAUGCUAUUUGAUAACUUUGAAAGUAUCAGGAUCCCUGCCACAGCUGCAAUGUUUAUUUAUUUUUAAUCUUUCCACCUUUCUGCAAUAUAAAAGAAUGAUGACUUGUGCUUGUUUAGUGGGCGUGCUGCUUGCUGCUGCUAUGUUGUUUCACUCGCAUUGCGAUGCAAACAUCAGCGGCACACAGAGAGUUGAGUUUUUCAGGGCAGGGGAGUGAUUCUUCUUUUACAACUUGGCGAAUGAACGACAUGUGU